This 253-nucleotide ribosomal RNA is filed under the name uncultured bacterium. Its description in RNAcentral is "partial 16S ribosomal RNA". It matches the Rfam family "Bacterial small subunit ribosomal RNA", at positions 524 to 776 of the family's 1533-position model. The record is from RNAcentral.
UACGGAGGGUGCAAGCGUUAUCCGGAUUCAUUGGGUUUAAAGGGUGCGUAGGCGGAAUGAUAAGUCAGUGGUGAAAGCCUGCAGCUUAACUGCAGAACUGCCAUUGAUACUGUCAAUCCUGAGUACAUUUGAUGUGGGCGGAAUGUGUCAUGUAGCGGUGAAAUGCUUAGAUAUGACACAGAACACCGAUUGCGAAGGCAGCUCACAAAACUGUAACUGACGCUGAGGCACGAAAGCGUGGGUAUCAAACAGG